RNAcentral lists this ribosomal RNA (482 nucleotides) under uncultured bacterium. RNAcentral describes it as "bacterial SSU rRNA". It matches the Rfam family "Bacterial small subunit ribosomal RNA", at positions 28 to 526 of the family's 1533-position model. The record is from RNAcentral.
GACGAACGCUGGCGGCGUGCUUAACACAUGCAAGUCGAACGGAAAGGCCCUUCGGGGUACUCGAGUGGCGAACGGGUGAGUAACACGUGGGUGAUCUGCCCUGCACUUUGGGAUAAGCCUGGGAAACUGGGUCUAAUACCGGAUAUACCUCAUGGACUGCAUGCCUUGUGGGGGAAAGCUUUUGCGGUGUGGGAUGGGCCCGCGGCCUAUCAGCUUGUUGGUGGGGUGAUGGCCUACCAAGGCGACGACGGGUAGCCGGCCUGAGAGGGUGUCCGGCCACACUGGGACUGAGAUACGGCCCAGACUCCUACGGGAGGCAGCAGUGGGGAAUAUUGCACAAUGGGCGCAAGCCUGAUGCAGCGACGCCGCGUGAGGGAUGACGGCCUUCGGGUUGUAAACCCCUUUCAAUAGGGACGAAGCGCAAGUGACGGUACCUAUAGAAGAAGCACCGGCCAACUACGUGCCAGCCGCCGCAGUAACAC